GGUUUUCUGUAGUUUAAUAGAAAAUUUGACCUGCCCACUGAUAUUAAUUUAAGGGCUGCAGUAUAUUGACUGUACAAAGGUAGCAUAAUCAUUAGUCUUUUAAUUGAAGGCUGGAAUGAAAGGUUUGACAUACUCGAGCUGUCUCUGAUUUAGUGAGUGAAUUUUUUUGUUUGUGAAAAGGCAAAAAUUGGCUAAAGGGACAAGAAGACCCUAUCAAACUUGGUUUGGACAAGAAUAUUGUUGGAGGAAUAAAAGUGAUAUUGAGGUUAAAAUUUACUGGGGCGGUAAGUAUUAACCUAUAUUAUGGUAUAACGUGUUAAGUGAAAAAUAUAAGGAUCCAGUGGAUUGAGAUUAGGAAAUAGUUACUGUAGGGAUAACAGCGUAAUGCUCUUUGAGAGUUCAUAUUGACAAGAGUGUUUGCGACCUCGAUGUUGGAUUAAGGAUUCUUCUUGAUGAAGCUGUCAAUUGAGAUAGUCUGUUCGACUAUUAAAUUCUU
Molecule: ribosomal RNA, 496 nt
Filed under: Pelmatojulus tigrinus
Lineage: Eukaryota; Metazoa; Arthropoda; Diplopoda; Spirobolida; Pachybolidae
Description: partial 16S ribosomal RNA
Rfam family: Bacterial large subunit ribosomal RNA
Source: RNAcentral